UACGUAGGGGGCUAGCGUUGUCCGGAAUCAUUGGGCGUAAAGAGCGCGUAGGCGGCCAGAUAAGUCCGGUGUGAAAGUCACAGGCUCAACCUGUGAAUGCCGCUGGAAACUGUCUGGCUUGAGUCCGGGAGGGGCGAGUGGAAUUCCUGGUGUAGCGGUGAAAUGCGCAGAUAUCAGGAGGAACACCAAUGGCGAAGGCAGCUCGCUGGAACGGUACUGACGCUGAGGCGCGAAAGCUAGGGUAGCAAACGGG
This 253-nucleotide ribosomal RNA is filed under the name uncultured bacterium. Its description in RNAcentral is "partial 16S ribosomal RNA". It matches the Rfam family "Bacterial small subunit ribosomal RNA", at positions 524 to 776 of the family's 1533-position model. The record is from RNAcentral.